Molecule: RNA transcript, 12867 nt
Organism: Delphinapterus leucas (beluga whale)
Lineage: Eukaryota; Metazoa; Chordata; Mammalia; Artiodactyla; Monodontidae
Gene: CPSF6
Gene name: cleavage and polyadenylation specific factor 6
Source: RefSeq, a predicted model, not a curated record
GCCCCCGGCGCUAGAUCCGCUGCUGCUGCCGCGGCGGGCGGACCUGCAGGAGGUAGCGGCGGCGGCGGCCGAGGCCGAGGGAAGAUGGCGGACGGUGUGGACCACAUAGACAUUUACGCGGAUGUGGGCGAAGAGUUCAACCAGGAAGCUGAAUAUGGUGGGCAUGAUCAGAUAGAUUUGUAUGAUGAUGUCAUCUCUCCAUCUGCAAAUAAUGGAGAUGCCCCAGAAGAUCGGGAUUACAUGGAUACUCUCCCACCAACUGUUGGUGAUGAUGUGGGUAAAGGAGCAGCACCAAAUGUUGUCUAUACAUAUACUGGAAAGAGAAUUGCAUUAUAUAUUGGAAAUCUAACAUGGUGGACAACAGAUGAAGACUUAACUGAAGCAGUUCAUUCUUUGGGCGUAAAUGAUAUUUUGGAGAUAAAAUUUUUUGAAAAUCGGGCAAAUGGCCAGUCAAAGGGGUUUGCCCUUGUUGGUGUUGGAUCUGAAGCAUCCUCAAAAAAGUUAAUGGAUCUGUUGCCUAAAAGAGAACUUCAUGGUCAGAAUCCUGUUGUAACUCCAUGCAAUAAACAGUUCCUGAGUCAAUUUGAAAUGCAGUCCAGGAAAACUACGCAGUCAGGACAAAUGUCUGGGGAAGGUAAAGCUGGUCCUCCGGGAGGCAGUUCACGUGCAGCCUUUCCACAAGGUGGUAGAGGACGGGCCCGUUUUCCAGGGGCUGUUCCUGGUGGGGACAGAUUUCCUGGGCCAGCAGGACCAGGAGGGCCACCUCCACCUUUUCCAGGAAAUUUGAUCAAGCAUCUUGUUAAAGGAACUCGGCCUUUGUUCCUGGAAACUAGGAUUCCAUGGCAUAUGGGGCACAGCAUAGAGGAAAUACCCAUUUUUGGCCUAAAAGCUGGACAGACUCCACCACGUCCACCCUUAGGUCCUCCAGGCCCACCCGGUCCACCAGGUCCUCCACCUCCUGGUCAGGUUCUGCCUCCUCCUUUAGCUGGGCCUCCUAAUCGAGGAGAUCGCCCUCCACCACCAGUUCUUUUUCCUGGACAACCUUUUGGGCAGCCUCCAUUGGGUCCGCUUCCUCCUGGUCCUCCACCUCCAGUUCCAGGCUACGGCCCCCCUCCUGGUCCACCACCUCCACAACAGGGACCACCUCCACCUCCAGGCCCCUUUCCACCUCGCCCACCUGGCCCUCUUGGGCCACCCCUUACACUCGCUCCUCCUCCGCAUCUUCCUGGACCACCUCCAGGUGCCCCACCACCAGCUCCACAUGUGAACCCCGCUUUCUUUCCUCCACCAACUAACAGCGGCAUGCCUACAUCAGAUAGCCGGGGUCCACCACCAACGGAUCCAUAUGGCCGGCCUCCACCAUAUGAUAGGGGUGACUAUGGGCCUCCUGGAAGGGAAAUGGAUACUGCAAGAACACCACUGAGUGAAGCUGAGUUUGAAGAAAUCAUGAAUAGAAAUAGGGCAAUCUCAAGCAGUGCUAUUUCAAGAGCUGUGUCUGAUGCCAGUGCUGGUGAUUAUGGGAGUGCUAUUGAGACAUUGGUAACUGCAAUUUCUUUAAUUAAACAAUCCAAAGUAUCUGCUGAUGAUCGUUGCAAAGUUCUUAUUAGCUCUUUGCAAGAUUGCCUUCAUGGAAUUGAAUCCAAGUCUUAUGGUUCUGGAUCAAGAAGACGUGAACGAUCAAGAGAAAGGGAUCAUAGUAGAUCACGAGAAAAGAGUCGGCGUCAUAAAUCCCGCAGUAGAGAUCGUCAUGAUGAUUAUUACAGAGAGAGAAGCAGAGAACGAGAGAGACACCGGGACCGGGACCGGGACCGUGAUCGAGAGCGCGACCGAGAGCGCGAGUAUCGUCAUCGUUAGAAGUAUAUACCCACAUUUUACAUGGUUCAACUACUUGUUCUGAAUUUAAUCUUCUGGAAACAUCUGAGAUAAAUGACAGAAAAGACACUUUUCCUGCCAUCUGGGUUUUGUUUUUAAAAGAAAAGAAACAGUAUUCUUUAAUUUGCAAAGAAGAUAAGAAAGUUACUCAAUUAAAAUGGAUUCAGGGUAUUCCAUGUAGAGAAUUUUAAAUUGUACCAAAUCAUACAUCCCAGGUUAGAAUAACCUUGAAAUAAUUUUCUUUGAUGUUUCAUUCAUAAACCAUAAUCAUUGUGUCUUUUUUUUCUGUAUUUUAAAACUAUUGUGUACAUUUUUCAUAAAGCGGGAAGAGUUGUCUGUUUAUACUUCAUUUUCACGUGUAAUUUUAUUUUUAUAUUUGUGAACAGCGUUUAUUCAUGUGAAAAGUGGGGAGAGGGCACUAUAAGGCUUGUGCAUGUGACACAAAGGUUAUUCUGUAAACAGAUUUUUUUUCUUCAUAUGUUGGUGGCAUAUCCAAAAUAAAUUAGGCUAAAACAAACCCCUUAUUGGUAAUUACUCUUUACAUGAUUAUUUUCCAUAAAAUAAAAUUGGGAAAUAUUGAAAAUUCAAUUAUGGUAAUUGUUAGUAUUUAAAUUGUUAUGGGCAAAAUCAAAGGAUUGUAUGUAAUUCUGUGACAAAAUAACAGUUUCUUUAGAUAUAUUUUAGCAAACGAGAUCCUUUUUAAGUAAUAUUACUUAGAAAAUAAGCAUGUAAGUCUUAUUUUUAUGGUACACAAAUAACCUAUUACAUUAUUUACAGUUUGAAGGGCUUUUUGAAGUAAAAAGGCAAGUUUUAAUACUUUUCCUUGCAUUUUGAAUAUGCAUUUUGAAUAUAUAUCAAAACCUUAAUUUUAAAAUAGUUCUCCAUGUACUGUAUUAUAGAACUUAACAUAAAUAAUUCUCAAAACAUUAUUUUAAUAUGAGGCAAAACUUUUUAUUUUUAAAACUAAGCUUAUUGAAAUUGAUACUGUUUUUGGAUGUAAGAACUGAAUGUUGUAUCAUGUAAGACUAAAUACUAAAUUUUAAAGAUGUAGCCCUUUGCCUCUCCCACUCCCGCCCACCCCACCCCCCAGUUGAAUAGAUCUGAUCCCAUCUUAUGAAAAAAUUCUCAGUGUCCAUCAGUGCUUAAGGUGAAUUGUGGCCAACUUAGGGAAAUGUUUAACGUAUAUCAGCCAUUUCAUUUAAAGUAAGGUACAGGUCCUUCAAUUUAUAUUUUUAUUUAGACUUUGUCAGUUAUCAACAAGCUUCUAGUUACUGAAGUCAUGAUAAUGGAACUUGCAUACAUUUUCAGUCAUCUCCAAGAUUGGAUAUGCCCAUCAAGGGCAUUCUGAGCCAGUUUAUACCCAAAGUUAAUUAACAAGUCUUCUUAAUGGUUUUAGCAUAGUUAAGUAAACUCCUUCUGAAAGGUCCAUUGUUAAUUUUAAAUACUUUGAAUUAACAUUACAUUCCGGUAAUGGGUACACCUAACUAUAUCAUGGUUUGAGUUUCAUUACGUUCAGACAUUAACUAUGAAUUCCUAACUUGCAAACUAUUGUUGACAUUUUUUCUUAAUCACUGAUGUGUACCAUACCAAAAUUCCCAUGUUUUGUUUGUGCAUUAAUCAGAAUUGAGUUGUAAUAUUGUUAUGUGCCUUCAUCCAAGCAAAAUUUUACAUAAGCAUUUCCAGUGCAAAAAAUUCUGUUAUCCUGGAAUAUUGUACCUUUGCUAUACCAAACAGUAUUUAUUGUGAACAUAGAUGUGAAUAAAUGGGUAGGGACUGGGAUUAAAUAUAUCUGAGUGAAAAACUUUUUUGAGCAAAUAAAAAAUAUCUGCACAUUUAAUCACCAUCAUAAUGAGGUCUAUUGACCUUUUUUAGAAGUUUUAAAAUAUGAGUCCUUUUGAACUUUCAUGUAAAUCUUAAAUGGACUAAAUGGAAUAAGAGUAACUUGGAAGCUAAAGUGAAUGUCAGUAGUAAGUCUGUAUGCAAAUAAAACAAUAAUGUAAUCUAUUAUUAAAGUGAUGAUGAAUGGCUAAAAGGGCAAGUUCUUAAUUUAACUGGAAACUUAAAUGAUGUUGGCAAGCUGUUAAUGUCUGUCCCAUCUUAAUUUUUUUGUGUGUUUGAACUGUUGGUAAUGUUAAUUGCAUUCUCUCAUUUAAAAAAUGUAUUAGUUUUUCUAAAAGCAUUUAAUAUCUAAGUUCAAAUAUAUAAUAUUUUAAUGGGAAUAUCGGUAUUGUAAAUUUCAGCAUGUAAAUAUAUUGUGCUUCAUAUUCUGUAAUUUCUGCCUCUAUUCUCAGACCACUCUGAGCAAAACAAAAGUAGUUCAGUGUUUUAAGAUUAUAUGCUUUUUACAGAAAUAAUUUUGUUUUCAUAGUUGUUUUCUUUUGUGUUCCUCUUAUUACUUGCUGGGAACAACCCUACUCAGCGAUUUCUGUUAACAGUUCCACUUUUCUUUGUAUACUGAAGAGUAAUGAACUGAAAUUAUUUUUUUAAAAACUCUUUAUUCAUGCUUUUCCUCUCUCUGACACAUGAUGUUUACACAUUCUCAAAUCAUUAUCCAUUCCUUUGAUUAGAUUUUAAGCAUCAUAUACGGGGUAUAGGUUAAGUAACUAUACUUUCCUUUGCUGUAUGAUUACUUUUCUCCUUUCACAAAUACCAUGAUCUUAGAUUUUGUUGUCAUUGCACAAGAUUUAGGGUGUUUUGCAUUCCUUAUUCAAUUCAUAGCUUUGCAUUAAUUUGGCAGGGGGAAGCCAAAAGAAUCAAAAGUUCUUGCAUAAAUGUUAAGAUGCUUUUAUCUCCUCAAGAGUUAAUGUUACUUUGAGUCUUAUGUGAAAAUUAAAUUCUUCUAAUCAUCUGAUGAAUGAUACGGGUGGUAAUGAGAUUUAAAAACUAUUUCUGCAACUCUUAAGUCAUCUGAGAUCUGACUAAUACUGUCCAGCCCUGUGUUUAUUGUUUCCCCAUAUAUCCUACCCGCUUCAUCUGGAUAUGCCAGCUUUCAUUAUUUUCACUCUAAUUUUCCUUGCUUUUAGUAUUAUUUGCAAAACCUGCCUGACUACACAGUUAUGUUAAUUAAAGUGAGAAGAGGGUAAAAAGUGAUCCUAGAAUGGAUGUAUAGUGUGUGUUUUGCUCACUGUGGUUUAAGAAUAUGGUUUUGUUUACAAAUGAUUAAUGUUCCCUGUUUAAAAAAAAAAAAUCAGUACCAAUGUGAGUCACCUUGAUCUCUCACCUUCAUCUCAGUGUGAAAUUUACUACCAUUGUUCUAGUUUGUAAAUUAGAUUGUUUUGAAUAAAUAAUGAUUUGAAUGAAUAGUUAGCAUUGUUUAAAGGAAAUCUAAUAACCAAAAAAGGACUAAGGGUGUCAUAUAUGCUGUCCAAAUUUACUAAUUUGCCUUGGUGGUAGCAUGUUUUAACUCUCACAGUGAAAUCUAAAUCACACAGCAGCUUAUUUUGAAAUGUCCAUUUUGUGAAAUUUUUUGGGCAAAGCUGGGUAUUCUUUAACUGUGAAGUUUAUUUCUACUGUUUAGUGAACUGCCUAGAGCAACAAUCCUGUAUAUGUUUUAUAGUGUAAUGAAAUGGGUUAGUUAAAAUGAGGUAAGUACUAUCUGCAGAGAUGCAAAGAUGAAAGUACGAAAUGUUUUGGUAGUAAGGGAGUUUUUUGUAAACAUCUACAACAAACAGGAUUUUGUGUAAUAUGUUCUAGUCAAUGCAAGGAGGGAUUUUGAUUUUAAAGAGUUCACUUGUAUUUAGAUACUUCUAGUUCUUUUGCCCACUUCAUCUCCUUUCCUCUCAUUAAGAAAAAAGUGAAUUUUAUUAUAUUGCAUUAAUAAAAGUAUAUCUCUAAAAUUAUAUUAGAAUCCUUCUUAUUCAGUGUAUUAAUGUGAAAACCUGUAAAAGAUCCAUAUCUAAUAUAUUUGAAUCUUAUACUUGAAAGGUGAAUUAACUGAUACCAGUAAAUUUGCUUGGAUAAGUUUUCUAACAGAAACACUCGUAAUUUGAGUUGUUAGUAUUGACUUGAUCUUGCAUUAUCUCAAAAUGCAGGUGCUUCUCUAUUGAAAUUUUAACUUAGUGCUCACUUUAUAUACUUCAUUAAAGAGCCAUAGAUUCCAUCUGUCUUAGUUUUUUUAACAACUGCUUACAUAGAUCUUCCUUCUAUAACUGAUAGCUAAAGCAAGAAAUUGUGUGGCUUUGACAUUACAGAUUUGACCACAUGGUAUUCUGAAAACAUGACCGUUGAAUGUAUUUGUCACUUUAAGCUUCUUUUUGAUAUCUGUGUUUAUGUAGAUUUCUACUUAGAAACUUGAGACUAUAAUAUGGAAUUGGGUUAUUGGAAAUGGGUUGUAUUGCCUUCAAAUUUGCUUUUUCUUUUUUUUUUUUGAGAUUGUAAAAUUUUGUAUUUCCAAAUGGAUAAAUGUAAAGUGUUUAGAAAUAGAAAUAAAAGCUGUCAGAUUAUCCCCCAGAUUUUGUCUGUAUGGUGAAAAUUAGAGACUUAUUAAUAGUAAAGAUCUAUCUAUAAGACAAAAGAUAAGUGCAUUCAUCCUAAAGAUAUGUGUUGUAAUUUCACAAAUAGGAUUCUCUACCUAAAAAAUAGUAAAAAUUCUCCAUUGGAGUGAUAUAAAAUUGCAGAGUAUGCCAUGUUUUUUGGAAGGGUUGGGUAUUUUUGUUUUGCUCACUGUGACUUAAUUUUUCCCUCUUAUUUAAAUCCCUUCCAGCAUGAUAAAAUAACUGGGAGAUAAACAUCUUUUUGCAAUGAGAUUUAUGAGUUUCCCAUUAUUUUUUCAGAUUAGAACAUAUGCCUUGUCUCUCUUUAAUACUUCAAUACCAGUUUUUUUAAGUAUAUUGCAAAGUAGUAAAGAUAAAAUGUGUGAAGCUACCUUUCUAGAUUUUUUUCCAUGAAAUAAUUCCACCAAAAGCUUUAUCAGCAUAAGAUAAAAUACAUGAAAGGUAACAUUAGAAAUGGCUUAAGUAUCUAUUUGAAAAAUAUGGGCAAAUUAAAAACUAUUUAAAAGUCCAGGAUUAUGACAUCUGCUUUUUCAUUUUGUAGUUGUAAAAUUUAAGUUUUUACUGCUAGGCAAUGUGAAUGCGUAUGUGUACUGAUGCUCUUAAGUUGCUUACACCCUAAUUGAGGAGGAAAGGACAUAGAAGAAGAUUUAUAGUUGUGACAGAAUAUUAAUUACUCUUAAUUGUAGAGCAAAAAGUAUUUUUCAGUUACUUUUAUGGGAUACUAUCACUAAACAUUGUGCCCUUUUGCCUCUUACAUCAUAUUAUUGAAACACUCUCUUGGAAUUUAUAUUUUAAAUAUCUGGUGUUUCAGGUGAUCACAUAUCCACGUUAACUGAAUGUUUCUUUUGUGAACCUCUACCUGAAGUUUGCAUAUUUAUGUACUCCUGAAACUUUAGGUUAUCUCAUUUAUUGGGUUUUUUUUUCUUUAUGUGAGUUUUCAAUGAAAUUUAUCAUUGUAGAUUCCCAUUUAGCUUGUUUCGGCUUAGUUUAUAUAUUUACAUUAGAUAUUUCAGUGUAGGUGGAAUAGAGGGACAGUAAUGUUAUAAAUUUGUAUAUGUCUAAAGAUUUGUACGUGGAUGUCAUAUUUAUUUAAAUGUGCAUACUGAGCUUAUAUUUAUAAAUUUUGUAACAUGGAGGACCGUUUGAUUUAUAACAUUUGCAGAAGUUCCUGUAUGUCAAAUAAAUACAACUAAUCUGUAAAAUAAUUUAUUGCAUUUAUAUUCAGUUCUCAUUUAAUUGUUUAUGAGUUAUAUAGAAUUUAUGUGGGUGAAUGAUAAUAUUUACAUUAAAAUCAUCCAAGCGUUUUUCCAUUUAUUUUUGUAGUACGCAUACUUUAGAAAAUGACUUAUAAAUGUUUCCAUCUUCACAGAAACAGUAGCUGCUACAUUUUCAUUUCCGUUUCAGUCAUUAAAUUUAUAAGGCAAUAAUAUUUAAGAAGAAUGAAAUCAGAAUGUCUCAGUUUUAAUCACAUACAUUUGGGAGCGUUUCUCCAUCACAAAGGCAGCUACUGUUUCAGUUAAUUCUUAUUUUGUGUUAGAAUACAUAACAGUGAAGUAGAUGCACGACUUGUGUAUGUAUAGUUAAGCCAGCAUUUUUCUGUGUAUUAUGGGGAAUAGCAAAAUCUACAUCAUAAAUUUUGACACAUUACAGCUGAAGGAAGAGGAACACCUUCCAAGACAAAACAGUCUUCAUGGGGGAAAAAUGACGCUUGUCCAGCAGUUUGCUUCUUGUGAUUGAACUGAACCUGUAAGGAUUCAUGGAUAAAAUGAACAGGAAUAGAUCUGAAUAAAGCAAAUCUGCAUAAAUGGUAACCAGUAGCUCUACUUUUAUUUUUUAUGUUGCUUACCUGUUUUAUUUGAAGGAAACCUGUGUGAUUUAAAAAGUUAUAGCUUUUGCAACUUUAUUACUGGUUAUAUACAUUUGGCCAUUAUAAUGUGCAAGCAAUUGGAAAAAAAACGUCAAGUAAAUGCUUGUUUUAUAGUAGUUUGUUCUUGUUAAAAAUGUUCAUACGAUAAUGUCUGUAAACAGCACCACUUUGAUUACAAUAGAUGUAGUGUUGUAAUAAACUGUUUAAUGGGGCUGAUGUGUAAAGCUGUUCAAGUUAUUUGAUGUUUACACCUCAGGGAAAGUCUUGUGUUCAGCAAUAUCUAAAGAUAAUGUUACUAUGACAUUUAUACUGUCCUUUAAAAAAAAAUUGCAAUAGCAUUUUUGGAUAUGCAUCAAUCUAAUCUUGCGUUCAGUGAAUUAAACAUACUAAUUAAGUGUCUCUUGCCCUUGAUUUUGAUAUUAGAAUAGGUGAUUACAUGGGUAUUUAAUAUUUCUAUAUUCUGCUUUUCUAGCUGUUUUUACCUAGUUAAGCUUGUGACUUUGCUGAAUGGUAUGUAAACUUGUAAAAACUGAAAUUUCACAACAUAACAACCCAGUCAUUGUGUUAGGGGUCAACAAAGAUUUUGUGGUUUUAACAUUUUAGUAAAAACCCACACGUGAUUUGCUACAGUAAUGCAGCUUAAUUACAACACAGAUUUACUGAAACGCUUAAUUGUAAACUGCUAGCAUUGAAGAAAUAUUUUGACAGUUCUGAUUUGAUGCGGCAGUUAUUAGCUAUUUUAUAUUGAUAGUGCUUAUGGUUUAUUGUUGAAGCCAUGGGCAACGUAAAUAUAGGCAGCCGUGCAGCAGACAAAUGUGAGUAAAGAAAGCCUUAGUUUUAUUUUCCAGUUACAGGAAAUAGAUUUCUGAAGGGUGUGAUGUUUAACAUUGGGUUGUAUUCUCCUAUAUGUGUAAUAGGAGAUUAUAGGUGUACCGAUCUCCACAGUUUAAGGAGUUCUGUGUAUUCGUGCAACCUAUUAAUUCAUGCUAAAGUUAACCUAAUCAAAGAUUUUUUUCAAACCUGCCUUGCAUAUAAGCCCACAUUAAAAGCACCUGGCUAGCAUGUGUUCUUAAUUGUAAAAUUAGCAUAGGCAGAGUGUCAAUUUGAUUAGACAUUUUUAUAGAAAGUUCAUUCUGAAUCAUUACUUCAGAAAUUUGAGUUAAAAUCCUUAAGCAAGUUAAUAUGUUUUUUAAUGUUUUUAAAAUCUGAUUAUCUUCGAGAGAUCUUCUGAUAAUACACUUUCUUUUUUUUUUUUUUUUAAAUGUAUAGCCAAAUUUUAGGACGUUGCUUGCUUAGGCACCCUAAAUAUUAUGUAAGUGCAACCUUAGAAGCCCUCCAGAGAACUGCAGUUCUUUACUUUCAUGUUGUCCACCAUCAUACCAGUUCUUGCAGAAUUAGCUGUUUUAAAUUAUCCAUAUUAUUGCCAGCUUUAUUUUUAAAACAUUUUGUGGUUAGAGUAUUUGUGCAUGGAAUCAUUGGUGUUUGUCAGAACUGUUUGCUCUCAGAAAUGAUUUUUUAAGUGUUCUAUCUUGUUGAAAAUGCAGUUGCCUUUUUAACAUUUGAGAGUUGUAUCAAAAUCAGUUUUCUUGCUUUGUGUAUAGAUGUUGUUAGUUUUAUUUCUUAGAUUUUUUUUAUAUUACAAUGCUGUAAUGCGAAGAAGUAUGGACAUAAAUAUAUUACAAGGGAAUUAGUUAAUAGUAAGCUUAAAAGGUAAGUAAAUGUCCAUAAGGAUACAAUUUUCUCUGAACAAUUUAAAAAUGGGAUCAUAAAAAUCUUAACUGCUUGAACUUGAAAUGAAAACUGGAAAUUUUGUACUAAUUAAAUCCUUCAUUUACCUUUUCAUUUUUUUUUUUUUUUUUUUAUCAGUGAAACCCUUUAAUUGCUCAUACUAUAUCACCCUUCUCCCUACUUGGCUGAUCUCAUUACGUGACUUUUGUUGCAGACAAUGUGAGUGUACUAGAAUUGUUUGCUGUUAGUGUAUUAUAAAUGUUAUCAGAAGGGAAUAACUUUCUGAUUUGACCAAUUUUUGCCAAGUCUUUCUCUAUCUGAUACAUGAAUAUAUAGCAAUGAAGGUGAAAAUGCAAGCUAUGUUUUAUUCUUCAUAUCCCUUUUUUUUUUAAUGGGCUGAUGUUAUUUGAAAAAUUUUUUUAAAUGUUUAAAAACAAUCCAAAGAGAUAAAUCUCUACAUAGACACCAAAAGAAGAGUCCCAGAGAUCUUUUCAUUUCUUCUUAAUAAUAAUUAUAGUGGAUAUGAAAACAAAACUGAAUUUAAUUUUAAACCAUAGCACUUGUUAGUGCUAUGCCAUCACAUUCCUUUCAGCCAGUAAAGUUAUGAAUGAGUGAUGCAGCACCUGAAUGGUAUUGCUUUUGAAGCAGUAUUUUGAAUUGAAUGUGCUGCUUUUGGUUAAUGGACAUAGGUUUUGGAAAGGAUAUUCCAGUAUAAAUUUAUAAGUGUUUAUUUUGUCAAUUUUUAUAAGCAAGAUUCGGAGUAAGUUACAGUGGCUAAUGAUCAUAGUUUAGUCCAUUUACCUAGAAUAUUCUUAAGCAGUUAACUACAAUUUGGAGUUCACAAAAAACUUAUGGAUUGUAGCUUAAGGUAUUACUUUCAGUUAAUUCUCCUGUGGAGAAUAUUGCUUUGUUUUCUACUAGUUUAAGGUCAGUUCUUAAAAUAAACAUGGAGAUUUUAAUGAAUGUUGUAUAACAUUUUAUAGUGAGGGGGAAAAAUUGUUGGAAGGGUAAAGACUUUCUUUCCCUUAUGUAUUUAAAUGUGCCAAUAACCUAAAUACAUACUGUUUUAUACAAUGAGAUGCUACUACAAGACUUUGUUGGCGUGCUCUGACAUUUUGGUUUUCAUACCUGAAUGAUCAUUGCGUUUUCUGUAUCUUGUAAGAUGGCUUCACUUUUGUGUUUUAAGCUUCAGCUUGUUAUUUUAAGAGGAAGUUUAUGUUCUGUUUCUUUACUGAGAAUACAGUAUUGCGAUCCUAGCUGUUUCACAGAUAACUGCCUUUUAAAUUUUAUUCAUUAAGUUCAUUUGCAUCCCAUAGCCAUCUGUAAUAUUUCCCAUAGUUGUAUGUACUUUAAGUGCACGCUUACCCAUUGUACACAUUAGACAUUUUUGUGCUAAAAUAUAUUAAGUGGGAUUUUUGUAGCAAAGUAUUUUUCUGUUUUUACAGUGUGUGUGUGUUGUUUUUUACGUUAACCCUCAGUUUAAACACUGGUGUAUUUUAUUUUUUAGCAACUUGACUCUUAGAAGCCUUAGACUAAUUUUUUAAUAAAUAUUCAACCAAAAAUUAUAAAUUUAUUAAGAUGUGGCCUUACAUAUAGCAUUCCUUAUGUUUGUAAUGUGAGAUUUUUUGAUUUAGAGAACUCAAAAGAUUCAGGAUUAAAGUAUCUUAUUGUAAGUUGAAAUAGAAAAUGUAUUAAAAUGUCUAAAAUGUCUAGGCUUCUGGGAGGAAGUUCUUAUACUCUUCUUUCUUGGUAUUAGAAAGAAGCAAUAUGAAUUUCUAUGAAUAUUCAAAAUAUUCAGGCAGUUGUAUCUUGUUCAGAUUGAUUUAGGUUUGUCUUAACCAAUUUCUUUAAAAUUUCAGGUUGUUGGCAUUCACUCUGAGUAUGCAGCUACUAUGGUUUUUGUAUGGGACAUAUAAACACUUGGUUAGGUAUAGACAGAUGUUAAUGUUUUAAAGACUUCCUGCUAUAUUAAUUAGCAUAUUGUAAUGGAAGUUUUUUAAAAUAUUAGGUGGAAUUUAAUUGAAGUCACACAAAUCUUGAAAUGGUAUCUGCAGAUAAUAAAUACUACGGAGAGUUUUUCCUGUGGGAGUAUCCUAAAACUCCGCCAUGGGUGUAAAUGUUUUACAUUAAUUUCAUAAUUGGACAGACCCUGCAUUUAGUGAAAACAUUUCAUUUUGAAGAUGUGUUCUUUUUGUCUCAUUGUUACUGCGUAACACUUCUCAGCAUUCUGUAAGUUAAAUUAUUUUAAAAUGGUGAAUUCGUGUUUAUUUUUUUACUUUGAAAAUUGUAGUACUCAGGUGGUAUUUAAUGGGAAAGGAUCCUUUGGGGUAAAUCAUAAUGUAUUCUAAGGAAUGCAUCUAUAACAUUGACUUUAGCCUUAAAGAAAGGUCUAUUAUUCCUUCUUCCUCUUCAUUCCAUGGUAUAUUAGCAAAGUAGUUUACAGCCUUGUACAGCCUUACAAAGUUGUUUUACAAUUUUUAAUCGAAAGCCCUUAACAAAAAACUGUAUCAUAUUACCAGUAUACAUGCAUUACUGAACCAUGGUUUGUAAAUAAUUUGACUAAUACCAGAAGGCCAAAGAAAGUCUUAAAAUUUUAGCUAUUGACUCUAUGGUGACUUCACAAUAAGAUUUCUGUGCAAAAGGUAAGGUGAUAUUUGAUCAAAUAAACAUCUUUUUGGUGUCCCUGAGAACUAGACUUCCAUAUUCGCUUCUAUUAAAAAGCUUAUCCCAUUUUAUUAAAAUGUUUGUAAUUGCAAUUUUGUGUUUAAUGUUUACUUUCUUUUCUUUCUUUAGCAUUUAGGUGACUGUUCAGCAGUUUGCUAUAUGGCCAUUGUUGGCCUUUAAACUGCACUAGUAAUGAGCAUGGUAUUUAUCUUGUAUUGAAAAUAAAACACAGUUUUUAUAAUA